RNAcentral lists this ribosomal RNA (492 nucleotides) under uncultured bacterium. Its description in RNAcentral is "partial 16S ribosomal RNA". It matches the Rfam family "Bacterial small subunit ribosomal RNA", at positions 29 to 507 of the family's 1533-position model. The record is from RNAcentral.
AGUGAACGCUGGCGGUAGGCCUAACACAUGCCAGUCGAACGGCAGCACAGUAAGAGCUUGCUCUUACGGGUGGCGAGUGGCGGACGGGUGAGGAAUACAUCGGCAUCUACUUUUUCGUGGGGGAUAACGUAGGGAAACUUACGCUAAUACCGCAUAAGACCUACGGGUGAAAGAAGGGGAUCUUCGGACCUUGCGCGAUUGAAUGAGCCGAUGUCGGAUUAGCUAGUUGGCGGGGUAAAGGCCCACCAAGGCGACGAUCCGUAGCUGGUCUGAGAGGAUGAUCAGCCACACUGGAACUGAGACACGGUCCAGACUCCUACGGGAGGCAGCAGUGGGGAAUAUUGGACAAUGGGCGCAAGCCUGAUCCAGCCAUACCGCGUGGGUGAAGAAGGCCUUCGGGUUGUAAAGCCCUUUUGUUGGGAAAGAAAAGCAGCAGGUUAAUACCCCGCUGUUCUGACGGUACCCAAAGAAUAAGCACCGGCUAACUUCGUG